UUAAGCGACUAAGCGUACACGGUGGAUGCCCUGGCAGUCAGAGGCGAUGAAGGACGUGCUAAUCUGCGAUAAGCGUCGGUAAGGUGAUAUGAACCGUUAUAACCGGCGAUUUCCGAAUGGGGAAACCCAGUGUGUUUCGACACACUAUCAUUAACUGAAUCCAUAGGUUAAUGAGGCGAACCGGGGGAACUGAAACAUCUAAGUACCCCGAGGAAAAGAAAUCAACCGAGAUUCCCCCAGUAGCGGCGAGCGAACGGGGAGCAGCCCAGAGCCUGAAUCAGUGUGUGUGUUAGUGGAAGCGUCUGGAAAGGCGCGCGAUACAGGGUGACAGCCCCGUACACAAAAAUGCACAUGCUGUGAGCUCGAUGAGUAGGGCGGGACACGUGGUAUCCUGUCUGAAUAUGGGGGGACCAUCCUCCAAGGCUAAAUACUCCUGACUGACCGAUAGUGAACCAGUACCGUGAGGGAAAGGCGAAAAGAACCCCGGCGAGGGGAGUGAAAAAGAACCUGAAACCGUGUACGUACAAGCAGUGGGAGCACGCUUAGGCGUGUGACUGCGUACCUUUUGUAUAAUGGGUCAGCGACUUAUAUUCUGUAGCAAGGUUAACCGAAUAGGGGAGCCGAAGGGAAACCGAGUCUUAACUGGGCGUUAAGUUGCAGGGUAUAGACCCGAAACCCGGUGAUCUAGCCAUGGGCAGGUUGAAGGUUGGGUAACACUAACUGGAGGACCGAACCGACUAAUGUUGAAAAAUUAGCGGAUGACUUGUGGCUGGGGGUGAAAGGCCAAUCAAACCGGGAGAUAGCUGGUUCUCCCCGAAAGCUAUUUAGGUAGCGCCUCGUGAAUUCAUCUCCGGGGGUAGAGCACUGUUUCGGCAAGGGGGUCAUCCCGACUUACCAACCCGAUGCAAACUGCGAAUACCGGAGAAUGUUAUCACGGGAGACACACGGCGGGUGCUAACGUCCGUCGUGAAGAGGGAAACAACCCAGACCGCCAGCUAAGGUCCCAAAGUCAUGGUUAAGUGGGAAACGAUGUGGGAAGGCCCAGACAGCCAGGAUGUUGGCUUAGAAGCAGCCAUCAUUUAAAGAAAGCGUAAUAGCUCACUGGUCGAGUCGGCCUGCGCGGAAGAUGUAACGGGGCUAAACCAUGCACCGAAGCUGCGGCAGCGACGCUGAUGCGUUGUUGGGUAGGGGAGCGUUCUGUAAGCCUGCGAAGGUGUGCUGUGAGGCAUGCUGGAGGUAUCAGAAGUGCGAAUGCUGACAUAAGUAACGAUAAAGCGGGUGAAAAGCCCGCUCGCCGGAAGACCAAGGGUUCCUGUCCAACGUUAAUCGGGGCAGGGUGAGUCGACCCCUAAGGCGAGGCCGAAAGGCGUAGUCGAUGGGAAACAGGUUAAUAUUCCUGUACUUGGUGUUACUGCGAAGGGGGACGGAGAAGGCUAUGUUGGCCGGGCGACGGUUGUCCCGGUUUAAGCGUGUAGGCUGGUUUUCCAGGCAAAUCCGGAAAAUCAAGGCUGAGGCGUGAUGACGAGGCACUACGGUGCUGAAGCAACAAAUGCCCUGCUUCCAGGAAAAGCCUCUAAGCAUCAGGUAACAUCAAAUCGUACCCCAAACCGACACAGGUGGUCAGGUAGAGAAUACCAAGGCGCUUGAGAGAACUCGGGUGAAGGAACUAGGCAAAAUGGUGCCGUAACUUCGGGAGAAGGCACGCUGAUAUGUAGGUGAAGUCCCUUGCGGAUGGAGCUGAAAUCAGUCGAAGAUACCAGCUGGCUGCAACUGUUUAUUAAAAACACAGCACUGUGCAAACACGAAAGUGGACGUAUACGGUGUGACGCCUGCCCGGUGCCGGAAGGUUAAUUGAUGGGGUUAGCCGCAAGGCGAAGCUCUUGAUCGAAGCCCCGGUAAACGGCGGCCGUAACUAUAACGGUCCUAAGGUAGCGAAAUUCCUUGUCGGGUAAGUUCCGACCUGCACGAAUGGCGUAAUGAUGGCCAGGCUGUCUCCACCCGAGACUCAGUGAAAUUGAACUCGCUGUGAAGAUGCAGUGUACCCGCGGCAAGACGGAAAGACCCCGUGAACCUUUACUAUAGCUUGACACUGAACAUUGAGCCUUGAUGUGUAGGAUAGGUGGGAGGCUUUGAAGUGUGGACGCCAGUCUGCAUGGAGCCGACCUUGAAAUACCACCCUUUAAUGUUUGAUGUUCUAACGUUGACCCGUAAUCCGGGUUGCGGACAGUGUCUGGUGGGUAGUUUGACUGGGGCGGUCUCCUCCUAAAGAGUAACGGAGGAGCACGAAGGUUGGCUAAUCCUGGUCGGACAUCAGGAGGUUAGUGCAAUGGCAUAAGCCAGCUUGACUGCGAGCGUGACGGCGCGAGCAGGUGCGAAAGCAGGUCAUAGUGAUCCGGUGGUUCUGAAUGGAAGGGCCAUCGCUCAACGGAUAAAAGGUACUCCGGGGAUAACAGGCUGAUACCGCCCAAGAGUUCAUAUCGACGGCGGUGUUUGGCACCUCGAUGUCGGCUCAUCACAUCCUGGGGCUGAAGUAGGUCCCAAGGGUAUGGCUGUUCGCCAUUUAAAGUGGUACGCGAGCUGGGUUUAGAACGUCGUGAGACAGUUCGGUCCCUAUCUGCCGUGGGCGCUGGAGAACUGAGGGGGGCUGCUCCUAGUACGAGAGGACCGGAGUGGACGCAUCACUGGUGUUCGGGUUGUCAUGCCAAUGGCACUGCCCGGUAGCUAAAUGCGGAAGAGAUAAGUGCUGAAAGCAUCUAAGCACGAAACUUGCCCCGAGAUGAGUUCUCCCUGACUCCUUGAGAGUCCUGAAGGAACGUUGAAGACGACGACGUUGAUAGGCCGGGUGUGUAAGCGCAGCGAUGCGUUGAGCUAACCGGUACUAAUGAACCGUGAGGCUUAACCUU
Molecule: ribosomal RNA, 2903 nt
Filed under: Escherichia coli
Lineage: Bacteria; Pseudomonadati; Pseudomonadota; Gammaproteobacteria; Enterobacterales; Enterobacteriaceae
Description: bacterial LSU rRNA
Rfam family: Bacterial large subunit ribosomal RNA
Source: RNAcentral